Molecule: ribosomal RNA, 253 nt
Filed under: uncultured bacterium
Lineage: Bacteria
Description: partial 16S ribosomal RNA
Rfam family: Bacterial small subunit ribosomal RNA
Source: RNAcentral
UACGUAGGGGGCUAGCGUUGUCCGGAAUCAUUGGGCGUAAAGCGCGUGUAGGCGGCCCGGUAAGUCCGCUGUGAAAGUCGGGGGCUCAACCCUCGAAUGCCGGUGGAUACUGUCGGGCUCGAGUACGGGAGAGGCGAGUGGAAUUCCUGGUGUAGCGGUGAAAUGCGCAGAUAUCAGGAGGAACACCGGUGGCGAAGGCGGCUUGCUGGGCCUUACCUGACGCUGAGGAGCGAAAGCGUGGGGAGCGAACAGG